RNAcentral lists this ribosomal RNA (395 nucleotides) under uncultured bacterium. Its description in RNAcentral is "bacterial SSU rRNA". It matches the Rfam family "Bacterial small subunit ribosomal RNA", at positions 29 to 402 of the family's 1533-position model. The record is from RNAcentral.
AACGAACGCUGGCGGCGUGGAUAAGACAUGCAAGUCGAACGCUGAUUUCAGGGUAGCAAUAUUCUGGAGUCGGAGUGGCGCAAGGGUGCGUAACACGUGGGUAAUUUGCCAUGAAGCCCGGAAUAACUCGCUGAAAGGCGAGCUAAUACCGGAUGUGAUAUUCGGGAGGCAUCUCCUGAACCUUAAAGCUGGGGACCGUAAGGCCUGGCACUUCUUGAUAAGCCCGCGGCCUAUCAGCUAGUUGGUGAGGUAACGGCUCACCAAGGCUAAGACGGGUAGCUGGUCUGAGAGGACGACCAGUCACACUGGGACUGAGACACGGUCCAGACACCUACGGGUGGCAGCAGUCGAGAAUUUUUCUCAAUGGGCGAAAGCCUGAAGGAGCGACGCCGCGU